GAGAAAUGUUGUUGAUGUAGUUAAAUGCAUGAUUAUUUUUUGUCAACAUGGGGAUGUAAUCAUUGUUACGCCAUUGUCAUCUUAUGAUUGUUUACAGCCAGAUGUAGGGUUGUAAUCAUUGUUGUGUUAUUUUUGUUUCUUUAUUGUAUGCCAUACAAUAUAUGUUGUCGUUGUUGUGAAAAAGGUGAGUCACAAUUUCAAAUGUUGGGACUUGUGAUUUGUCCCAAGCUCGAAUGAAGGGGCUUGGAGCUCAGAUGAAGGGGCUCUGG
This 269-nucleotide long non-coding RNA is filed under the name Lathyrus oleraceus (garden pea). RNAcentral's name for it is "Pisum sativum (pea) long non-coding RNA (PSAT_LNC016379)". Lineage: Eukaryota; Viridiplantae; Streptophyta; Magnoliopsida; Fabales; Fabaceae. The record is from RNAcentral.